Molecule: ribosomal RNA, 497 nt
Filed under: uncultured bacterium
Lineage: Bacteria
Description: partial 16S ribosomal RNA
Rfam family: Bacterial small subunit ribosomal RNA
Source: RNAcentral
GACGAACGCUGGCGGCGUGCCUAAUACAUGCAAGUUGAGCGAUGAAGAUUGGUGCUUGCACCAAUUUGAAGAGCAGCGAACGGGUGAGUAACGCGUGGGGAAUCUGCCUUUGAGCGGGGGACAACAUUUGGAAACGAAUGCUAAUACCGCAUAAUAACUUUAAACAUAAGUUUUAAGUUUGAAAGAUGCAAUUGCAUCACUCAAAGAUGAUCCCGCGUUGUAUUAGCUAGUUGGUGAGGUAAAGGCUCACCAAGGCGAUGAUACAUAGCCGACCUGAGAGGGUGAUCGGCCACAUUGGGACUGAGACACGGCCCAAACUCCUACGGGAGGCAGCAGGAGGGAAUCUUCGGCAAUGGACGAAAGUCUGACCGAGCAACGCCGCGUGAGUGAAGAAGGUUUUCGGAUCGUAAAACUCUGUUGGUAGAGAAGAACGUUGGUGAGAGUGGAAAGCUCAUCAAGUGACGGUAACUACCCAGAAAGGGACGGCUAACUACGUG